AUAUUACUAAGGGGAGGAAAAGAAACUAACAAGGAUUCCCCUAGUAACGGCGAGUGAAGCGGCAAUAGCUCAAAUUUGAAAUCUGGCCUUUGGCCCGAGUUGUAAUUUGAAGAGGAUGCUUUUGGUGCGGCGCCUUCUGAGUUCCCUGGAACGGGGCGCCAUAGAGGGUGAGACGCCCCGUAUGGACGGAUGCCUAGCCUGUGUGAAUCUCCUUCGACGAGUCGAGUAGUUUGGGAAUGCUGCUCAAAAUGGGAGGUAAAUUCCUUCUAAAGCUAAAUAUUGGCCAGAGACCGAUAGCGCACAAGUA
RNAcentral lists this ribosomal RNA (307 nucleotides) under uncultured Chaetomium. RNAcentral's name for it is "partial large subunit ribosomal RNA". It matches the Rfam family "Eukaryotic large subunit ribosomal RNA", at positions 40 to 350 of the family's 3401-position model. The record is from RNAcentral. Lineage: Eukaryota; Fungi; Ascomycota; Sordariomycetes; Sordariales; Chaetomiaceae.